GUUGUAGACUGUUCGUAAUAUCGUAAAAAUUGUGUGGAUUUUGAAUGUGAUCCAUAUUGUUUUCGUGAAGUGACCUUUAAAUGAUUUGAGCAGCAUCGACAAAUAAGUUAUCCUCUCUCGAUCUGGUUGGUUCCUGGUUUUCAAAGGGUGGAGCUUGUACAGACGCGGAAUGACAUCAGGACUCUUGUCAUCAAAUACCCUGGACCUCAUCCAAAGGUCUGCACAUGCAGAGACAUUUUCAUUGGAGCACGAAGUCUCUGUGGUCUAGUGCAGCCCGCAGAGGGGGCCCCAUGUUGGAACCCCGCUGAACUCCGCGACACCCCUACUGAGCUGUCAUGAACUUGACCUGUUUUGCUUCUUCUCAUCAGGUUAGCAUAAUUUUUAAUAGCUUUUUCUUAUCGUAAUCUAUAUGUCUGUGGGCAGUGUGAUUAAAAUUCACUGGACGAAGGGCAGUAUAUAUGGAAUAAGCUCGUAAUACGGAAUACCACCAUAUUUGAGAAACAAAAUGAGACAACUCUGUAAUAAAACGCCACGUAAACGCUUGGAUUAAAUGACACAUAAGUUCAGUAGUGCUUGCUGAGGUCAGUUUUGUGCUUUGUAAGUGGCUGUAGAUGGCUUCCUUUU
Zootermopsis nevadensis is the source of this 624-nucleotide long non-coding RNA. RefSeq lists it as uncharacterized. The record is from RefSeq and is a predicted model, not a curated record. NCBI's taxonomy places the organism in Eukaryota, Metazoa, Arthropoda, Insecta, Blattodea, Termopsidae.